GCCAGCUUAAGCUUAAUUAUACAGUAUUUAGCCUGGAGAUGUACAUACCAACUAGCUAUUACCAAUGCUCUUUAGUAGCUGCUCCAGUGGCCACCAUAGUUUGGAUUAUGCGCUUGAAUUGGGAGGAGAAAGAAAACAAAAUUCCGUUGACUGCAAUCUACUGCCAUCUAGUGGUAUCUAACAUUUUUCGAGUAAAAUUGGCUUCCACGCUGAACUUCACGCUGUGCCUGCAUGAAGACCACUAAUAUGAAGUGACCAGAAGGGGGCACUGCAGCACCCAACAGCAGUCUUGCUCUCAGAGCCGCAUGGGGGAUCCUCCUGGAGUUCCAGGCCUCGUCCUCGCUCAGGUCUACACAUACCGCUGAGAAAUUUGGGGUUGUUUGAG
Molecule: long non-coding RNA, 385 nt
Organism: Haplochromis burtoni (Burton's mouthbrooder)
Lineage: Eukaryota; Metazoa; Chordata; Actinopteri; Cichliformes; Cichlidae
Exons: 4
Source: RefSeq, a predicted model, not a curated record